Molecule: ribosomal RNA, 253 nt
Filed under: uncultured bacterium
Lineage: Bacteria
Description: partial 16S ribosomal RNA
Rfam family: Bacterial small subunit ribosomal RNA
Source: RNAcentral
UACGUAGGUGACAAGCGUUGUCCGGAUUUACUGGGCGUAAAGAGCGCGCAGGCGGUCGAUCAAGUCGAGUGUGAAAGCCCCCGGCUCAACUGGGGAGGGUCAUUCGAUACUGAUCGACUCGAAGGCAGGAGAGGGUAGUGGAAUUCCCGGUGUAGAGGUGAAAUUCGUAGAUAUCGGGAGGAACACCAGUGGCGAAGGCGGCGAUCUGGGAAGAUACUGACGCUGAGGUGCGAAAGCGUGGGGAGCAAACAGG